UAGUAAAUGAACUAAACACCAUUAAAAUAACUCUAGAUGAUUAAAUGCAAACAUUAUUGCUCUUGAGUUUGUUGUCAGAUAGUUGGAAGACCUUAGUGAUGUCUCUUAGUAACUCUGCUCUAGACAACAUUUUGUCUCUAUCCUUAAUAAAGGAUAGUCUCUAUAAUGAUGAGGGAGAAUAUGGGAAGAUCGAAUCAACUCUUAUAACCCACUCAACGU
Molecule: long non-coding RNA, 219 nt
Filed under: Carica papaya (papaya)
Lineage: Eukaryota; Viridiplantae; Streptophyta; Magnoliopsida; Brassicales; Caricaceae
Description: long non-coding RNA (CPAP_LNC000987)
Source: RNAcentral